RNAcentral lists this ribosomal RNA (443 nucleotides) under uncultured bacterium. RNAcentral describes it as "bacterial SSU rRNA". It matches the Rfam family "Bacterial small subunit ribosomal RNA", at positions 28 to 472 of the family's 1533-position model. The record is from RNAcentral.
GAUUAACGCUAGCGGCAGGCCUAAUACAUGCAAGUCGAACGGUAAAUAGUAGCAAUAUUAUGAGAGUGGCGCACGGGUAAGUAACGCGUAUGCAACCUACCUAUAACAGGGGAAUAGCUCAGAGAAAUCUGAAUUAACGCCGCAUAACAUUAUUUAUGGCAUCAUAAGAUAAUCAAAACUCCGGUGGUUAUAGAUGGGCAUGCGUGACAUUAGCUAGUUGGUGAGGUAAUGGCUCACCAAGGCUUCGAUGUCUAGGGGGUCUGAGAGGAUGAUCCCCCACACUGGUACUGAGACACGGACCAGACUCCUACGGGAGGCAGCAGUAAGGAAUAUUGGUCAAUGGGCGCAAGCCUGAACCAGCCAUGCCGCGUGCAGGAUGACGGCCCUAUGGGUUGUAAACUGCUUUUAUACGGGAAGAAACCCAUCUACGUGUAGAUGGCUGA